GGUUGCUAUGGGCAACUCAGCAACUUUUCCUCUGCACAGGUUUUGAUAAAUCUCCCCAAUGUCCUAAAAAAGUAAAAUGGAGCCGCCCUUACCUGGUGUCCAAAGGAGCAGCUAACCCAGUUACAGCAGCUCAUUCAAAGUGUAUGACUUAGCAGGAGACAACAAUGAGCACAGAAGGAACCUCGACCAGCAAAAAGAAUACGAAAUCUGCUCCAUUCGGAGCCAUGGCAGGAAGGAAAUUCACAAUAAAUAAAGAGCAAUAAAUAACGCAGCAGUGUAUCUGGAUUUAUGCCAUCUGCUACUGUAUAUGAUAUUAACUCUGUACAGUACUAAAGGAAGUGAAGAACAAUUCACAGCAAGAUGCAGGAUCACCAACUGGACUCUACUUAUUGAUAUAUUACCAAUGUGAACCGUACAAACAAUGUUCCCAGCAGGACACGCCAGAUAAAACUCACAUUCUGAGACAGGAUUUUAUACAGUAUGUUUUAAGGAAAAUGUCUGGUAUAAUUUUAUGCAAGUCUGUUGGAGAAAAGUAAUAUAUCUGUAUUUGUUUUAAAUGUGGUAUUUAUUUGAUUUUAUUUUAACCCCUAAAAAACGCAGUGGGUAAUUGUAACCCUUUGCUAUCUAGUACAUAGCGCACCAGGGCGUACAUUACACCCGGCGGCGUGUACAAUCUACAAAGUGAGCAGACGCCGUGACCUGCCACUAGUGGGGGACAUCGGCAGUCAGACUGAUACCCACCAUUAGCGUGGCUGGGGCUUAGCAGGGCUUUGUGACUAUUUGCCAAUAUGUGGUAGUUUAUUACACAGUGCAGAAUAGGUUUUGUCAUUGGAAAACCCCUUUAACCCCCUUAAGGACCAAGCCCAUUGGACCAGAGCGUUUUUUGCAAAUUUGACCACUGUCACUUUAAGCAUUAAUAACUCUGGAAUGCUUUAACUUUUCAUUCUGAUUCCGACAUAUUCUACUUUAUGUUAGUGGUACAUUUUCGGUGUUACUUGCAUCCUUUCUUGGUGAAAAAUCACAAAAUUUGAUGACAAAUUUGAAAAUUUUGCAUUUUUUUUUAACUUUGA
Molecule: long non-coding RNA, 1070 nt
Organism: Hyla sarda
Lineage: Eukaryota; Metazoa; Chordata; Amphibia; Anura; Hylidae
Exons: 3
Source: RefSeq, a predicted model, not a curated record